GAUCUGUGUUGGAAUAGGAGAGAAGUUGCAAAGAGAAGUUAAGCUUCUCUUGUUUGGUUUUAGAGUGAUGGAAAAGAAAGAGCACAUAAUAUGUGGGAUCCAUGAUAUUUCAACUUCUUCAUGUGCGAAAAAAAUCAAGGAAAGGUGCUCAUUUUUUCUUUCCCCUAUUUGCCAUUAUCAGCUAAUGUUGUUGCAUCAGAAAAAAGCUAAUAAUUCACAUAUAAAAAAAAUAAAUAAGCUAAUGUUAUUUGUUUUGAAAAAGAAAACAUAAUGGUUAAUUUGGUCUCUUCCAUUUAUUUUAGAUUUUAAUUUACUCCUUUAAAUUUAAAAAAAAUUAAAUCAAUCUUUUAUGUUUAUCACAUUUGUAUUAUUUAAUCGUUUUUGUUAGUUUUAUAUUAACUCUGUUAAUUGUAGACCAUGUGUCUGAUGGAGUUUAACUAGUGUGUGACACAUGUAAACUUUAAACAUUUUUUGAUUUAUUAUUAUUUUAAAAAUUCAAAACAAAAAAAAAAAAAUUACAUGUAUCACACACCAGUUGAAUUUACAUCGGUCACGUGACCUACAAUAAACGAAAUUAGUAUAAAACUAACAUAAAUAAUAAAGGUAAAAUUUUUAAAACGUAAGGAAUCAAUUUGAUACCUAAAAUAAAUGUGUAAGUGGCAAACUUAACAAUUAUGCCAAAAUAAAAUAAUGAACAUUUGAGCAGAAAAUACUUAAUUGCAAUUUUGGUCAAUUUAAUUUCUCAAUUGAGUGUAUUUGGUCCUCUAAUAUAAAAUCAACAAUUUUGAUCUCUUACAUUUACUUCUUUUUGGUUUUUGAGUAAUUCUCAUACACUUAUUUUUUACCACAGAUAUUAAGGAUUAAAAUUUUGAAAUAAAAAUCACUUUGAAAAUUGCCUAACAAUUUAAUAAAUUAAAAUAUUUAAUUGUAGUUUUGAUCCUUUAUUUUCAUAAAUUCGUAAAAUUGGUCCAUUUAUUUUAAAAUUCAACCGUUUUAGUUUCUCAUUUGGAUAUUUUAACUUAGAAAUGACGACAUCACAUAUUUUAAAUUACGUGAUAUAAAAUCUCAUGAUGUAAAACCAUCUAAAAGCAUUAACUAUUUAUACGUUAUUAAUUAAAUUAUAAAAAUGAAUAAUUUCAUAAGUUAAAACUAACGUUUUUAGAGUGUUUUAUUGUAAUUUUAUGAAUAUUAAUCAUUCAUCACCCUCAUAUCAUAUCAUAUAUAACAUCAUUUGAAAUUUGUCGCAUUAGCAUAUUUUAUUUACAAAAAUUGAAGGAGACCAAAAUUAUUGAAUUUUAAAAUUAGAUGAUCAAUUUCGCGAUUAGAAUAAAAAACCAUAAUUACAAUUAAUCUAGAUAAAAGAAAAAUCUGAAGUAAAAAAUAUCAAUUAUAAGGAAGGAGGGUUUGAAUUAUAAUUGCCCCUUUUAAAAUAUUCUUGUUUAAAACUGAAAAUUCAACUCAAGAUUGAUCUUGGUUAUAACGAAGAUUGAUCUUGGUUAGUAAAAAACAGCAAUAUCAAUGUUAUCAAUAUAAACUCUGAUUGUAAUGCAUAAAAUAAAUAGAGAUAGAGAUAGAGAGAUCACACAAGGAUAUAUCCUGGUUCACCCAACCCGGGUUACGUCCAGUCCUCACAACCGUGAGAUUUUUCACUAAAUGUUCAAACCAAGACCGUUCUUGGUUUUCAUGGAUCAAUCUUGAUCUUUACACAAUUCCUACCCUUCUACCUAGAAAGGAUUUCUUCAGUUCUACCUUACUGUUUUGGAAAGGCUUUAACAAGUUACAUUUCAAAACAUGAAAGGAUUUUUGCAAUUUACUCAAGAUUUGACAAAACAACCUUGAGUUACAAAGUGAUGGAUUUGAGACUAUUUAGAAUCUUAGUAUUGCUCAACUCUUGUUUGAGAAAUAUAUUCUGUAAAUAGACCUCAGUUGUAAAUGAUUACAACACAAAGAUUAAAACAAAACAGCAAACUAUAAGAAAGAUUUUGAGACACUUGAGUAUGAUCAAAAAGAUUGAUCUUUUUCUUGGUGUUGAUAGUUGUGUUUUGUUCUUCAACUUGCAGCUGCAUUUAUAGACUCCAAGAAGGCAUAGGACAGCUCAUGUGACCGUUGGAAAGGGACCAGCUGUCAUGAAUUCUGCCAAAUACAAGAUUGAUCUGCUGCAUCAAAAGAUCGAUCCAGGAUUGAUCUUCUGGUUUGUGAUGAACUAGCCUUGUACUUCUGUGAUUUGUGUUAGUAUGUCAGCCUUGAGUACAUGCUUUUCUGUUACGUGUGCAGGCUUUAGAAUAGUUCAAAUCAGUAGUGUACUUUGCUACUUGUAGUCUUGUACUUGCAUUUGCUUUAUAAGAAGAAUGAUCUUUGUGAUAUGCCUUUGUUGAAGCAUGCCUUUGAUUCUUCAAAUUCUGGAACAAAUGUGACUUAGAUUGAUCUUUUGUUGAUUCUAUAUGAGAGUAUAAGAUGAAUAUUAUUUCCUGGAUUGAUCUUCGUUUUUCAGAACUGCUUCAAGAUCAAUCUGCGUUUUCCAGAAUUGCUUCAAGAUCAAUCUGCGUUUUCUAGAACUGCUUCAAGAUCAAUCUGCGUUUUCCAGAACUGCUUCAAGAUCAAUCUUCGUUUUCCAGAACUGCUUUCUUUGAUCUGAUUUGUGAUGUUUGAUACCUAUCUUGCUUUAACAUACUCAAAAACACAUGUUAAAUAUCAAAACACUUAGAAUCAUAAUUAGAAUUCUUAAUUAACUUUUUGUUUGUUUUCAUCAAAACAUUAAAUUGAGAUUUUGUCUCAACAAAAUCCUCUUUUGAAAUUGAUUUUCUUCAAGGAAUGAGGGAGCAAUACACUGAUGUGUGUCCCAACCCAAUCUCAACAGAGAUUCAAUAUGGGGUUUGCUAUAUUGGUGACUUGCCUUAGCAAAUUAGAAAUAGGACAAAUAUUAUCAGUUUAGAGUUUUUUAUUUAUUUAUUUAUAAAAUGUUCUUGUUUUAGAAGUUUCAUUAAUUCAAUGUUAGCUGAAAUUUAUUUUGCAAAUACUUCUAAUUAGACUAUAUCAUCAAUUUAUUUUGCAAAUACUUCUAAUUAGACUAUAUCAUCAAUUUAUUUUGAUAGGAUGGUCCUUUUUUUUAUAAAUAUAAUGGAUUUUACAUUUUAUAAAUUUUCGUAAAAUGGGAAUAAUUAUUACUCUAAUAAUUUGUAUACAUUAAGUUCCAUUAAUUUAAUAUCCGUUUUUAUUCUAUUGAUCAAGCUAGCCAUGAUUCAAGAGUUUAUCAAAUCCUAUUAUUGAGGAAAAAAAUCUGUUUCUAUUCUAUUGAUCAAGCUAGCCAUGAUUCAAGAGUUUAUCAAAUCCUAUUAUUGAGGAAAAAAAACCAAAUUUCCCGCGUGAGUAAAUAUAAAAGUUUAAACAUAAUUUAUAAAAAGAAAUAUCCAAAUCACCUUACAAGUCGGUUUGAUAAAGAUGAGAAAAACACAAUAUAAAAAUCUAACAUAUUUGUAUCAUUAUUUAUUAAUAUCAACACAUCAAAUCCAAUAGUAUUGAGCCCGAAGAAUACAUUAAAAAAGACUCAAGUUUAUAAAAAAAGACAUUCUUCAUCUUCACUUUCUUCAUUAAUCUCACAUUGAGUAGAGAUAAGGUCCAAACAUAAUUUAUAAAAACAUAAUUUUUGACCUUACAUUUUAGACCCAGAUAAAAACCUUAACACCUGGUACCAUUUGUAAUGAGAUAAGUCUAGUUAGAAAUUUAUUCUACAAAUUUUAUUACAUGAGAUAAUAAGAACAAUAUUAUUAUUAUAGAACUAAAUUCAUAUAGUAUAUGGCUAUAAAGCUUAAUUCAAUUGGCAAUGUCCGACAUUGUUAAGCUGGAAAUUUUCAUGGUGACAUAAGUUCGAAUCCGAAAUCUCCACUUGUUUAUUAACCCUUCCUAGAGCUCAAACCCCAUGAGUAUAGGUAUAUCUCAUAACUUAGGAGCAAUUCUUGGACAGUCCCACUCUGUCACAACAUGGUCACGAGUUAUGUCCUUAAGUGAAGGGCAACCACAGAGUGCCAUGGUUAUUUCAAGCUCAUCAUGAAGCAUCUCAAGUACUUUUCUUACACCAGCUUCACCAUCAGCUGCCAAUAUUAUGAAAACACCACAGGUCUUCCAAUCUGAUACAUAGAUGAGAUGAAUGAAAAAUAUUUAAAAUUUUAACUAUACGAACGAAAUGAAAUAAUCAUAAUAAUAAACUUACAAAUACACCAGACGCUCCAAGAGCCAAUGCUUUGAAAACAUCUGUUCCUCGGCGAACUCCACCAUCCAUAAAAAUAGGAACUCUUCCUUCUGCAGCUUGCACAACCUAUUCAAAGUAAUCAAAUGAAAUCAUAAAUUAUUCUAUAGACCCAACAAAUGGAAGCAAAAAAAUGCAAUUAUUAAUAGUAAGAAAACAAGGCAAUGAAAAACAUAUCUUGGAAUGAUUCAAAGAAUAGUAGCUUGAAGUUUUAAUACAUGAUACAAAAUUAGCUAGAAUUAAACCAAGAAAGAUAGCACUAGAGACCUCUUCCAAAGCCAUAAUAGUUGCAGGGACAUAGUCUAAUUGGCGAGCACCGUGAUUGGAAACUAUGAUUCCAGAAGCUCCAGCUUGUAUAGCUAACCUAGCUACAUUAUUAGAAUAGGUUUGUGGAAUUAAAUUCAAGAUUGCUAAAAACAAUCCUAACAGAGAUCAAAUGGAUCAGGAAGCAUAGAAUCAGAAUUUAAUAAGCUUACUAUCUUCAGCAGUAAGUACACCCUUCAGUAUGAUUGGCAAUGAGGUUAUUGUUUGAAGCCAUUUUACAUCCUGUUACAAGGUUUGCCAUAAUAUACAUUAUGAUUUCCACAUUCUAAUGUCACGGAUUAGGAAAUCAUAUAUGUGAAAGAUCUAUAUAUCAUUAUAUCACCUUCCAGUUUAGUGAUUGGUCAUAUAGGCCAUUAGCAAUGGAGGCGUGAUUAGAGUCUUUAGUCUGCAAAAAUAACAACAUUAAGAUGACAAUAACAGAAAAAUCUAUCUGGUUUUAAUUUUCAAACUGAUCACACACCCUUUUAAGAACCAUGCCUUCAAAAUUCUUCAAUGUCACAUACGAUGGAAAUGUAAACCUGUACAAAACUCCAUCACACAAACUACGAAAAUACAAUUUUAAAAUUGAAAGACUUAUCAAUUCAACUGAAAUUUCCCAAUGACCUGUUUUUUAUGUCAGCCUCCCUGCGACCAAUAACUGGAGCGUCUACUGUAAGGACAAUUGCUUUGAAACCAGCACUUUCAGCUCUUCUCACAAGUUGAGAAGUCAUAUUUCUGUCUUUAUACACCUGAGAGAAGAAAAUUUAGCAACAAGUUAGGAUAUAGUAUAAAUAAUUGAAAAUUUAGAUGAUCAAACUAGUACUUGUCUGACUGCAGCAAUGAGAAUAAUAUUGUUUAUGCUUAUGAUUUAAACUAAGUUGCUUAUGCUUGGAAAUGUUCUUGUGUUCAGAAAGGAAGAGACAAGUGAUACACUUGGUCGAAAUUAAAAUCAU
RNAcentral lists this long non-coding RNA (5499 nucleotides) under Cicer arietinum (chickpea). RNAcentral's name for it is "long non-coding RNA (CARI_LNC001401)". The record is from RNAcentral. Lineage: Eukaryota; Viridiplantae; Streptophyta; Magnoliopsida; Fabales; Fabaceae.